Long non-coding RNA from Eucalyptus grandis, 5554 nucleotides. RefSeq lists it as uncharacterized. Lineage: Eukaryota; Viridiplantae; Streptophyta; Magnoliopsida; Myrtales; Myrtaceae. The transcript is spliced from 3 exons. The record is from RefSeq and is a predicted model, not a curated record.
CUUUGCUGGCUGUCUACACUAUUUUACAAGUAUUAUUAUUUUAUUAUAGCCUGACAACUAGAUUUCUUUGGAGAAGCCUAGAAGUGGUGCAGCUGAAUUUUGCUAGAAAAUUCUGGAGAAGGGAGAGAGAGUGGCGGUGCUCUCUUCCACAUCAACCAGUUUCAGUCCAACAGGCGAGGCCAUUCCCGGUCAGGUAGCUGGUCCGGUGGAAGGAGAUGGCCUCUUGGAUCCCAAACCGCUCCGGCGAUCCUGACGAAGAAGAAGUGUCACUGAGCUCCUUUGAUGAGGACGACUCCACCGUUUUAACCGAGGGCGCUACCGCUAGUACCAGGAUGCCCUGGGACGAUCUAGACAAAAACGAAGUGUUACUGAGCUCCUCUUUCGAGGACCGUGCAUGGACAGCCGCGUUCAUGGACGACGAGGAGCUCAGGAAGGCCGUAGAGAUGAUCAUGCCGGCGAAUUUCGGAGCCGCCGUCGGAGCGUCCGGCCGUCCGUACAGAUACGACGUGUUCCUGAGCUUCCGUGGCGUGGACACGCACAGCGACUUCGCUGGCCACCUCCAUGCGGCGCUGGACCAGCGAGGGACUGACACGUUCGUGGAUGACGAGGAGCUCCGGAAGGGCGAGGAGAUCACGUCGGCGAUCCACAGAGCCAUCGGGGAAUCAAGGAUCUCGAUCGUCCUGUUCUCAGAGGACCACUUGUCCUCUGGCUGGUGCUUGUACGAACUGGUGAGAAUCGUGUAGUGCAGGGAUACGAUGAGGCAGAUCGUGUGGCCGGUGUUCUGCAAGGUGGAUCCUUCGGAGGUGAGGAGACAGAGGGGGAGGAACGGACGAGCCCUAAAUCAAGCACGAGGAGAGGUUGAAGUCGAACGGCGGCGAUUUGGAGAAGGUGAAGAGGUGGAGAGAAGCACUGACUACAGCAGCGAACAUCUCUGGCUGGCAUUUGGUUGAACGGUAUCUGAUUAAUUGCUAGAAACUGAAUAAUAAUCUGGUCCUUAGUAUUUGAGAAAUUGACUGCUGCUCGAUCUUAUUGGAGAUCAACUUAGGACUCAUUGUAUCAAGCAUCUUUGAAUCUCCUAAAGUAUUCUCAAUUGGCUCUAUGCUUUGAAUCCACCAGGCGGGAGUCUAAUGUCAUUCACAGCAUUGUCAAGAGUAUAUGGACUGAGCUGAAUCGCGAUCAAUUACCUGUCCCUGAAAACGUGGAUGCCAUGGAUUCACAUGUGUCCCAUAUGCAUACUUUGCUAGACAUGGAAUCAAACGAGGUUUGCAUGGUCGGAAUUUGUGGAUAUGGAGGAGUAGGGAAGACUACUAUCGCCAAAGCUACUUAUAAUGCUUUUUCACACAAAUUUGAGUGUUGCAGCUUUCUUUUCAAUGUUAGAGAAACUUGGGAAAAAUCUGCAGAUGGCCUACUUCAGCUUCAAGAGACACUUAUUUCUUGGGAAACGUGGGAUGAUUAUCUGAAGCUUGGCAAUGUCCACAGAGGUACAAGCAUGCUAAAGAGUAGGUCCACAUUUUCAUUGACGAUGUGAACCAGUUGAUCCAAUUGGAAACACUGGUUGGAGGACAUUAUUGGUUUGGUUGUCGGAAGUAGAAUCAUCAUAACGACUAGAAAUGAACAUUUAUUGGUUGCUCAUGGCGUACACAGCAUAUAAAAGGUUCAACCAUUAGAUCUUUUAAUGGCUUGUAUGCUCUCCAAUUCAAUUGCUUUCGAGGAUAUUUCUCCUCCUCCUGAUUAUGAAGAGUUUUCAUAUAGCGUAGUGCUUUACACCAAGAGUCUUCCAUUAGCUAUUAAAGUUUUAGGUUCUUUUCUUCGAGGUAAAAGCUAUUUCCAAUGGAAAAACACAUUAGAUGAAUUGAAGAGAGUUUUCAAUGGAGAAAUCUUCAGUGUGUUGAGAAUGAGCUUUGAUGGUUUAGAUGAUUAUGAGAGGGAUAUUUUUCUUGACAUAGCAUGUUUCUUCAAGGGAGAGAGUAUAAGUCAUACGAGAGAUUUUGGAGAGCUGUGAUCUCCAUCCGGAUGGCGGAAUUGAUGUUCUUAUAGAUAAGUCACUUAUCACUAUUGAGCAUGGCAAGCUGGAGAUGCAUGAUAUGAUUCAAGAAAUGGGAAGAGAAAUUGUGCAGAGGGAAUCUCCUAGAAAGCCAGGGGAGCGCAGUAGAUUGUGGUUCUGUAAUGACGUGCUUCAUGUUCUAACAGAUGGCACGGUAAUACAUUGAAUCAUGAUCUUUUGUUUUUGACAAUAUGAAUGCAUGUUUGGUAGGGUUACAGCCUCUUACAAAGUACUUUUGGCCUUCUAUUAGAAAAGAGCGUGAAUGUUUUUCUGCUGCGUAAAGAUAAUGGCGCGAUGGUUCCAUAAGAUUUACUUUUUCCAUAUCCCACCGUGAGAUGUAAGGUUUGUACUAUUGACCUCUCCCCAUAAAGUACCGUUGGAUUUUUGCAGAAGCGUGUGGGUGUGUAAGUGUGGCAAGGGAGCUAAGGAAUGAAGUGAAAAAUGAAUGACAGAACAAACUAAAUUUUAUUCAAGGACUUCUGUGGUUACAAAAGAUACUAGGAUUGGGAUUGGGAUGAAGAGAAGAUUGAGAAGAAGUGUUGACUUCAUCUUAUUCAUUGAUGACUACACUCGAAUGACGUGGAUCUACUUUCUUCGAGAAAGAUCGGAGGUUUUCUCUAUUUUCAAGAACUUCAAGAAUCGCAUCGAAAAUGCCACUUGGAAUUGGGAUGAAGAGAAGAUCGAGAAGAAGUAUGUCAACCUACCAGACAUAUCUCCUGCACGUGAGGAAUCAACACCACAAGAAAAAAGUCAAAAUUUUUAACAUGGUAUCAGAGCUACAUAAAUUUCUUCUUGAAGAUAUCCAUUUAGGAAUGCUGACUUUACAUCUAGUUGAUGGAUCUUCCAUUCUUUUUGUGUUGCUAGAGCUAUGAGUGCCCGAAUGGUAUCAAGGCGAGCAACAGGAGCGAAAGUUUCAAUAUAGUCAAUACUGUUAAUACCUAGUUGUUGUAAGUAUGCUUUUGCUCCUGUUGCUCGCCUUGAUACCAUCCAGGUACUCAUAGCUCUAGCAGCACAAAAAGAAUGAAAGAUUCAUCAACUAGAUAUAAAGUCAGCAUUUCUAAAUGGAUAUCUUCAAGAAGAAAUUUAUGUAGCUCUAAUACCAUAUUAAAAAUUUUGACUUUUUUCACCGCCAUACAGCUGUAAGACAACUCAUUUUCUUAUUCUCCAAGUACUCUUGCUGCCCACGUACUCUUGAUCCUUCUUUCUUCAUGGUUAAGCAGCCAUUGUUGACUUAUUUUCAACAUUUCUCAUGCACGUAGACUUCUCUAGUUUGUUGACUUUAGUUUACUUCAUUAACUUGACUUCUUGCUACCCACAUAGUCUUGCUGCCCACGUGGUACCAGAAACUUCUCCAAUGUGUGAGUCUUCACUUUUGACUUGACUUGCCUUUUCUUGCAUUUCACAUUCAUUGUUGCCGACUUGUUCCUUCGCCGUUAAGUUAGUAGUUUCUAGAUAGUUUUAGAAAAAAUGGAUCACAAUUUCCAACACUCCCCCUUGAUCCAUUUUCGGGAUACUCCGAACUUGUGUUAUGAAGCCUCGGACGUACCUUGAAAUUUCUCUUGUAGUUUGUCCCAUGUCUUUUAUGCCGUCUUCGUUCCACGAUCCCUUGCAUUCUAUGAUCCCUUGCAUUCUCUUGUCAGAACACUUGCACCUACCUUUGAACGUGCAUGACUUUUCUUCAAUGAUGGCCCAAGACAUCAAAAUGCUCUUAGUUGUAGUUGUUAGCUCGGGCUCUAGCUCUAGCUCUGGUUUUGAUUUUGGCUCUAGCUCCGGCUUUGGCUCUCGCUCGGGCUAUGGUCUUUUAUUCUAGCUCUGGCUCCAGCUCCGGCUCUCUUGGCUCUCGCUCGGGCUCUGGCCUUUUUAGUUGAGGAUGGUGAGGACAAACGCCCAAAACAUCCGAAUAUGCCUAGCUCUGGAUUCAUGGUGGCUCAGUUACGGACCUGGGCGCAUCUAGCUUUGAUACUAUGUUAAAAAAUUUGGAUGUGUGCAUGCAGAAGCAUGUUUUUGGUAUUGAUGAUAGUUUUUUAUUAGUGAUAUGUGCAAGUGUAUGAUAUGGUUUAUAGUGGAUAGACAAGGGACAAGAUAGAAUAAUCGAAGGAUAUAGAACAUGGGAUAUAGGAAGUAGUUUCAUGAGUUGAAUAAACUAAUUUGAUGGAGGUAUGGUGGAGGUCUAAGACUUCUCACAGUGGAGGGCUCACCACACACAAGGUGGAGGGUUCACCUCACACACUCAAAUGGUCAAUUACAAGCCUAUUUAUAGGCGUGAGUUACCGCCUUACUCUACCGACUUUGAGUACAAAAAUUAAUACAAAAUUUCAGCUUACUUCUUUGUCUCUUGCUUGUUGUAGCUAGUCAAAGUACAAGUUGGACUUUGCUUUCCUUUUCUUCUUUCUUUCAGAUCUUCUCGUUGCGUCUUCCUUAUUCUCCAUUUUUCUAUUCUCUGUGGCUCCUUUUGUUGACUUUGGUUUACUUCUUUAACUUAACUUCUUGCUGCCCACGUAGUCUUGCUGCCCAUGUAGUACCAAGAACUUCUCCAACAUAUGAGAGUCUUCACUUUUGACUUAACUUGCCUUUUCUUGCAUUGUUGCCGACUUAUUCCUUCUCCAUUAAGUUAGUAGUUUCUAGAUAGUUUUAGAGAAAAUGGAUCACAAUUUCAAACAAAUAAAUUAUGACAAAAUCUGCAGAACUUAAAUACUGUGGUUUUUUUAAGAAUUGAGGUGUUUAUAAAACUCAUGUGUCAAAUGCUAAAGUAAAAGAAAAUUCUGAAAGCUAAGAACAAAAGGCACCCGAGGCACAAGCACACCAAAUCUAUUUAUUACUAGUAAUCCCUGCAAAAUGUAAAGACUUAACUUGUCUACUCAUAUAUUUGCUGCCGGGGAACUAAUAAAGUGGAAGCAAUAAUGCUCAAGUUGGCUGCUUCUGAAGUGCACCUUAGUGCUAAUUCCUUCAUAAACAUGAAGAGGCUCAGAAUUUUCUUAGCUCACAAUGUUUCCCACUCGGGGGAUCUUAUAUACUUUCCCGCUUAAUUAAGAUGGCUCAAAUGGCCCGAUUAUUCUCCACCAUCGGUGCCAUUCAAUACAAACCUCGGGAAACUUGUAAGUUUAGACUUGAGUAAAAGCAGCAUCCGCAUAUUGGGGAAGGAAUUCAAGCUUUUUAGACAUUUGAGGUGUGUUACUUUCAGCCACUGUAAAUUGCUGAGUGAAACUCUCGAUGUAUUGUCCCUGCCAAAUCUUGAGAGUUUGGAUCUCCAAGGGUGCACCAAUCUUGUUAAGGUUCAUCAGUCUCUUGAGCGUCUUGACAAGCUCAUAUAUUUGAACUUUCUGAAUUGGUCCAAUCUUAGCUGUUUCCCUAGCAGUUUGAAGUCGAUAUCUCUUGAAAAUCGGGUAUUUAGAGGUUGCUCAAAGGUUUCAAGGUUUCCAGAUAUUCUUGUACCAGUGAAACGUCUAAGAACACUUGCACUUUAUGAGACAGCCAUUUGUGAGGAGAAAAUAUUAGAUACCUUAACAGCUC